AUGUACUCCAUCCAAUCGAGGCUAAUGUUGCUAACAGUUAAUGGAAGUGUAUGGCCUCCAUUUUAGCAUUGUUUUUAAAAUCAUUUAAAGUGUUCCUGCAGAACCUGAAGGACGCGACAUUAUAAUUCAUGAUGUGAGGCCUUUUUUUUUACUCAUUUACAUUGUAAGUAUUAGCGUCAGUAUUUAAUAGUGUGAGUAUUAGGGAGUAUUUAGCAUCGGUAUUUAAUAGUGUGAGUAUUUAGUGUCGGUAUUUAAUAGUGUGAGUAUUUAAUUGUGUGAGUAUUAAUUGUGAGUAUUUAAUAUUGUGAAAAUUUAGCGUCGUUAUUUAAUAUUGUGAGUCUUUAAUAUUGUGAGUAUUUAAUAUUGUGAGUAUUUAGCAUCGGUAUUUAAUUGUGUGAGUAUUUAUUGUCGUUAUUUAAUAGUGUGAGUAUUUAAUAUUGUGAGUAUUUAAUAUUGUGAAAAUUUAGCGUCGUUAUUUAAUAUUGUGAGUAUUUAUUGUCGUUAUUUAAUAGUGUGAGUAUUUAAUAUUGUGAGUAUUUAAUAUUGUGAGUAUUUAGCGUCAGUAUUUAAUAGUGUGAGUAUUUAAUAUUGUAUGUAUUUAGAGUCGGUAUUUAAUAUUGAGGGUAUUUAGAGUUAGUAUUUUAUGUUGAGAGUAUUUAGCAUCAGUAUUUAAUAUUGUGAGUAUUUAGCGUCGGUAUUUAAUAUUGUGAGGAUUAUGCGUCGGUAUUUAAUAUCAUGAGUAUUUACCAUUGGUGUUUAAUAGUGUGAGUAUUUAGGGUCGGUAUUUAAUAUUGUGAGUAUUUACCAUUGGUGUUUAAUAUUGUGAGUAUUUACCAUUGGUGUUUAAUAUUGUGAGUAUUAAGCGUCGGUAAUUUAAUAUUGUGAGUAUUUAGCAUUGGUAUUUAAUAUUGUGAGAAUUUAGUAUCGGUAUUUAAUAGUGUGAGUAUUUUGAGUCGGUAUUUAAUAGUGUGAGUAUUUAGCGUCUGUGUUUAAUAUUGUGUGUAUUUAGAAUCUGUAUUUAUUAGUGUAAGUAUUUAGCGUCGGUAUUAAUAGUGUGAGUAUUUAGCAUUAGUGUUUAAUAUUGUGAGUAUUUAUCAUCGGUAUUUGCUUGUGUGAGUAUUCAGCAUCUGUAUUUAAUAGUGUGAGUAUUUAGCAUCUGUAUUUAAUAGUGUGAGUAUUUAGCAUUAGUGUUUAAUAAUGUGAGUAUUUAACAUCAGUAUUUUAUAUUGUGAGUAUUUAAUGUCGGUAUUUAAUAGUGUGAGUAUUUAGCGUCUGUAUUUAAUAUUGUGAGUAUUUAGCAUCAGUAUUUAAUAUUUGAGUAUUUGGCAUCGGUAUUUCAUAGUGUGAGUAUUUAGCUUUGGUAUUUAAUAGUGUGAGUAUUUAAUAUUGUGAGUAUUUAAUAUUGUGAGUAUUUAAUAUUGUGAGUCUUUAGCAUCGGUAUUUAAUAGUAUGAGUAUUUAAUAUUGUGAGUAUUUAAUAUUUGUUUAAUAUUGUGAGUAUUUAGCGUCGGUAUUUAAUAUUGUGAGUAUUUAAUGUCGGUACUUAAUAGUGUGAGUAUUUAGCAUCAGUAUUUAAUAUUGUGAGUAUUAAUCUUUGGUAUUUAAUAUUGUGAGUAUUCAACGUCGGUAUUUAAUAUUGUGAGUAUUUAAUAUUGUGAGUAUUUAAUAUUGUGAGUAUUCAACGUUGGUAUUUAAUAUUGUGAGUAUUUAAUAUUGUGAGUAUUUAAUAUUGUGAGUAUUUAAUAUUGUGAGUAUUUAAUGUCGGUAUUUAAUAUUGAGUAUUUAAUAGUGUGAGUAUUUAAUAUUGUGAGUAUUUAAUGUCGGUAUUUAAUAUUAUGAGUAUUUAACGGAACGAGGAAUUCCUUUCAGCGUUUUAUGUUUAAAUGCUCUUGUAGUUGUCUGAGUUGCCAAACUAAAUGUUGUUGUAUUGUAUACACUGACAAUAAAGUGCCGUACCUAGUUCACUGUUUUUCAUGAGUAUUUUCAUCAUUUUCAGUUCAAACAUCAUUUAGCGUGUGUAUUUAGUGUGAGCAUGUAUAGUUUAUCAUAAGUCAUUUUGUUACUAGUACUUGCUUUAUGGUUUAUUUGUAAGUAUUGCUGUUACUUUUAUCUCUAGUUUAUCUCUUAUUGUGAGUUUAUUUGUUUUGAGUGUUAUUACUCGUUCAUCAUUUAUUGUAUUUUGAAUACUCCCUCCUCAUUAAUAGUUUAGGAUUCAUUUGUCCAUUUGUUUAUUUGUUUAUUUGUAACAAAGACUUAUUCUAUUAUUUUUUUUAAUUGAUUAUUAGCCAUACCAAGCAGUUUCCAUGAUAUUAGCUACACGUCUCUGUUACCGUUCAGCUACAUUAGCAUUUUGAGAAAAAUAAACUCUGUAUUCAUAAGCUGGAGAAACAGAAUAAUGACGCAGGUUGCUUGAUUUCCACUAACACCAACAGCGAAAUGGCUGCUGAAAUCAGGGGCUGUUUAUUUACUCUGUUACUGCCGGAGCGUCAUGGAGAAAUUCGGUGCAAAAAUCUCGCUCGUCGUGACUGGUUUUCCUCACUGCAGCCCUGCGCUGUGGCAUGUUGUGCUGAAGUCCAUAAAUAUUCAAGCAGGACUCAUCUGUGGCCUGCUGUCACUGCAGCUCUUUUGACUAACAGUCACUUUCCGUUCACGGCAGCCGUCACACACUCGGCUGUGCAAAAUCACACAGACAGGUAACGCUGCACCUGACACACACACACACACACACACACACUCCAUCACACUCCAUCACACCACCUUCCCAAUUUACACACUCCAUCCGAGAUGUGACUAACGAGCAACAGAUGGCCGUCUAUCUGUCUGUCUAUCCAUCCGUGGAUUCAAAUCAGCAAUUAAACUGUUAGAAACGUGCUAAAUUCCAAAUAAAGAGCGCGGAUUUACGUAAGUUCUGAUAAACUGUCUAUAAUAAUUAUGUAAAUGAUGUCGUAUGCAAAAUUGGAAAAGGAGCGAUUAUGUAAAUGAGGGUUUUGCGAGUGUUAACUGUUCUUGAGAGCUGUGACGAGUUUAGAUCUUGCAGAGAUGCUUAGUUUGAUUAUUUUGUUACUGCCUCAUACAUUAUUUACUGUAUUUGAGUAUUUUUCUUUACUUCCUUCUUUAACUUUCCCUACUGAAAAAAAAACAACAGAAACCAUCACAGAAAUUUGAAUGGUUUCCACUAUAAAUACCAUUACAAACCAUCAGCUAAUCAUUAAAUCCAUUACUAUUACCAUUAUUGGUCCUCUUAAUGAUAUCCACUAGACAAAACACGGAAGCAAUAAAAGGCAACAACUUACCAGUAGAGACUGACAUGGACCAUUAUAGUGUCCAUUAAAACUAAUACAAUUCCAAUUAUAACCAUUAAGACCAUUACAAAUUCUAUUAUGGUUUCUGUUGUUUAAUUCAACAGGGUUUUUUAUCAUUUAUAAUAAAGUAAGAAGAUAAAAUGAGUGUGUAGACAUGUGUAGUGUGUGUCUGGUUUACAUGAGGUCAACUGCAUGCUGUUGGUAUCAGAGGUCUGAACACGUGGCAAAUAUUAACCCAUAAUUCAUUGUGCUGUAAUACUAAUUAAUCAUUCCUAAUUACAAGAAAUCACUAUGACAUCAUUUUAAGAACUUAUUAAAGAUUAGUUUUAUUUUGAGUGGUGUAAAUAAGCUUCUACAAAUUUAAUACCUGCCCUUCAGUCAUAUUAUUUUACUUUACACACAUGAUUUCGCAUCGACUCCACCCACUAUUUUACACUUUUAGAUCGAAACACCCCAAAUUAUACAUAAUCGGGCAAGAACUUUUAUUAUAUUCGAGACUCAAUCCUCUGUAGCGCUUGUUAAUAAUUCAGCUUGGAGACUGUUUCGAUCAUUUUUAUUCAUUUUUUUUAUCAAACGCAAACCUUUUGUAGAUCAGUUCUUCAGAGUUCAGAGCGACUCGGGUUCAGACUGCUCACCUUCCCUGACUCUUAUAAAGAUCGAUGAAUUCUAAUGGCUUGAGAUUUGGUUUGUAAGC
Ictalurus punctatus (channel catfish) is the source of this 3995-nucleotide long non-coding RNA. The record is from Ensembl. NCBI's taxonomy places the organism in Eukaryota, Metazoa, Chordata, Actinopteri, Siluriformes, Ictaluridae.